AACUUUUGGCAAUGGAUCUCUUGGCUCUCCCAUCGAUGAAGAACGCAGCGAAAUGCGAUAAGUAAUGUGAAUUGCAGAAUUCAGUGAAUCAUCGAAUCUUUGAACGCACCUUGCGCCCUUUGGUAUUCCGAAGGGCAUGCCUGUUUGAGUGUCAUUAAAUUAUCAACCUUGUUCGCUUUUACGAGCUUGAGCGAGGCUUGGAUGUGAGGGCUUGCUGGCUUCCUUCAGUGGAUGGUCUGCUCCCUUUAAAUGCAUUAGUGGGAUCUCUUGUGGACCGUCACUUGGUGUGAUAAUUAUCUAUGCCAUUUGACUGUGAAGCAAAAUUAUGGGAACCUGCUUAUAACCGUCUCGCAAGGGACAAUUUAAUUGACUAUUUGACCUCAAAUCAGGUAGGACUACCCGCUGAACUUAAGCAUAUCAAUAAGCGGAGGCU
RNAcentral lists this unclassified non-coding RNA (433 nucleotides) under uncultured Tricholomataceae. RNAcentral describes it as "sequence contains ITS2". The stretch from base 1 to 154 matches the Rfam family "5.8S ribosomal RNA". Lineage: Eukaryota; Fungi; Basidiomycota; Agaricomycetes; Agaricales; Tricholomataceae. The record is from RNAcentral.